GACUCAGUAGCUCAGUUGGUAGAGCACAUCCCUUUUAAGGAUGGGGUCCUGGGUCCGAAUCCCAGCUGGGUCA
Molecule: transfer RNA, 73 nt
Filed under: Bacteroidota bacterium
Lineage: Bacteria; Pseudomonadati; Bacteroidota
Also listed under: 1 other name
Description: tRNA-Lys
Rfam family: tRNA
About the family: Transfer RNA (tRNA) molecules are approximately 80 nucleotides in length. Their secondary structure includes four short double-helical elements and three loops (D, anti-codon, and T loops).
Source: RNAcentral